This 611-nucleotide long non-coding RNA is filed under the name Medicago truncatula (barrel medic). RNAcentral's name for it is "long non-coding RNA (MTRU_LNC007752)". The record is from RNAcentral. Lineage: Eukaryota; Viridiplantae; Streptophyta; Magnoliopsida; Fabales; Fabaceae.
CAUGUAAGCUUAGAUGAACUGGAAGAGAGGUACUUUGAGAGAAAAAAGACGAGGAAGGAAAGAAGGAAGGAGUACUUGGAGAUGAAAAAACUGAAGAGUGAAGUCAAAACUAACGGGGAAGAAAAAAUCCAGAACGAUACACCUGAAACCCUAGCUCAGAGACCUUCUGACCCGAUUACAGAACCCUCAACAGACCCGACUGUUGUAAUGGACACUCACCCUGCAACCCCAAUAGUCGCAGAACUGGAAGAGAGGCACUCUGAGAGAAAAAAGACGAGGAAGGAAAAAAAGAAGGAGUACAUGGAGAGGAAAAAACUGCAGGGUGAAGUCAAAACUAAACGGGGAAGAAAAAACCAAAGAACGAUACACUUGAAACCCUAGCUCAGAGACCUUUUGACCCGAUUACAGAACCCUCAGCAGACCCGGCUGUUGUAAUGGACACCCACCCUGCAACCCCAAUAGUCGCAGAACAGAAGAUUGCAAAGAAGAGACACAAGAAGAAGAAAAGGAAGCGUGAAGCGGUACAAUAUUCAAUUGCUGAAACCUCAGUUCAGGGAACUAAAGGAGUCACUGUCACUAAUGCUCCCAAUGGUCAACAUGGGCAAAGUUCU